CAAAGAUGUUUAUUAUAGCAUAUAACACUAUAAUACUUAUAAUAUUAUACAUAAGCAUUAUACCUAAGUAUCCAACAACUGAGCAAAAGUUAAAUAAAUAAUGGUAUAUCCAUUUGAUUAAAAGUCAUGCAGCCAUGAAAAGUUAUGGUCUUGAAUAAUUAACUGGGAGAUGUUAUAAAACAAUGUUAGACAAGCAAAGCCGUUAACUGGGUUGUUUGUAUUGCAUGAGUUCUAUUAUUUUUUUUUUAAAGUAGGAAAACACUAGAUGGAAGAAUGCCAAAUGUUACUAGUAGUUGCCUCUGGAUGGUAGGACCCAGGAUUAUAACUGACUUAUCUUCUGCUUUAAAAAAACAAGAACAGGAGCUCCCUGGUGGCUCAGCAGGUUAAGGAUCUGGCUUUGUGGCUGCUGUGGCAAGGGUUUGAUCCCUGGCCAUGGGACUUCUGCAUGCCGAAGGAAUAGCCAAAAAAAAAAAAAAAGUAACUUUCCAUACUUUCUAAAUUUUUUUUCAAUUAUCACAUUAAAAAUUUAUAGCCAGUAAAAUAAUCAAUUAAAAGGAAGUUAUUCAAUGGCCUUCCCUACUCUGUCGUCAGUUUUGAACCUCAAGGAUGUACCUGGACCAGCUAGCAUUUAGGUUUAACUCUGCAAACCUGUUUACUUGUAUUCCUCUACCCCACUUUGUUGCUGUUAUUUCAUUAGGCAUAUUUACUUAUGGCAAGGGUAAGAAGGGGAACACAACAUUUUUGAUCUACCAAGGAAGUACACUGUCCUACUUCUUUGAAAAAAGAUGGAAAGAAUUUUUUUCUUUUUUAUGGCUGCACCCUUGGCAUACGGAGGCUCCCAGGCUAGGGGUCAAAUUGGAGCUGUAGCCACAGGUCUACGCUACAACCACAGCAACGCCAGAACCGAGCCGAGUCUGCAACCUACGCUACAGCUCACAGCAACGCCGGAUCCCUAACCCACUGAGCAGGGCCAGGAAUCAAACCUGCAUCCUCUUGGGUACUAGUCAGGUUAGGGCUCAUUACCGCUGAGCCAGGAUGGAAACUCCAAGAUGGAACUAAUUUAUCUGCAAGGCUGAUUUAAAACAACACCUGUUGAAAGAAGUCAGGAAGUCUAUCAGUUUGAGACUUUUUCCUUUUUCCUCUACCAUUUCUAAUCCUGGGCAUUGUGCUCCUGAAUCUCAUUCCAAGGUUCUAACUCUGGACCACUGGCUAGCCACAUGAAUAACACACCUGAGAUGAGGAAAACAAACAUGCAAAAGCACAAGACAUCUUGCCUUGGGUGGGAAUCUGCAUCUCCAGAACAGGGAAUUUCCAUUCAUGAUAGGGGAAAGUAAAUACAGAAAGAAUUGAUGAAAGAUGAAUGAAAGGAAGAGGGGAAAUGUGGCUUUCUUAGACAUGACUUGGCUCUCUCAAUUUAGAACCAUGCCUGGAAAUGAAAGAGACCUAGUCGCAUUGUUGGGCUCUAGAGUUUCUUUAACAAGGGGUUUCACUAUAGCCCCAGAGAAAAGUAGUCUUUUUCUUUAGGUGAGGACCAGGACUCUAGAAUUUGAACUCCUGUAGCCAUAGGUAAGUGGCUGGGAGGGGAAGAAAAGAUAGGCUAUGAUGAUAAACUGAACCAUUAGAGCAGACUCUCUCAAUUUUAGUGCACUUAAAAGGUAAGCAGGGGUAGGGAGGGGUAGGAGUUAACAGGGAUACUGUUUAAAUUGCCGAUUCCUCGACUCUACCACCAGGAAUUCUGAUUUAAUAGGUAAGGGGUAGAGACAAGAACACUGCAUUUUUAUCAAACAAUUCCCACCACAACCACCAAAAGGAUUCCGGAUGCAUUGAGCACAGCUUUAAAAAUCUAGAGAUUGAGAUUAUAGACAAAACACUGUGCAUGUAUGCACUUUUUGGAGAAAGUCUUUAGCUAUCAUUAGAUUCUCAAGGAGUUCCAAAAUUCAAGACUGCUAAGAAUUGUCUUGAAAAGCAAAAAAGAACUUGGGAAGCACCAAGUCAGAGGGGCAAGGGCAAGGUUUUAGAAAAAGACCAAAACCUACAAAGCCAAUCUAUUAGAAACCAAGUAGAACUAGGAUGGAGUGAAGUGAAAGCCGGUGGGGGUGGAGAACGCUGAGGAUAUAUCUAAACCAUUUUCACUGUAAGAAUGGAUUGUUAAUAGCUAAUUUUUAUUAGCCACAGGGACUUGGUGGAUGGGUGUGUGACUUGAAGGCAUAGGGGUCAGGGAGACAUCAGCUCCAGAGGACAGUAAUAGGAGGGAAGGUCAGUGGGUUUUCCUAGGCAAACUCCAAGGUCAUGGCAGACUCCAAGGUCAUGGAGAUAAGGGAAGAAAAGGUGGCUGCCUCUGGGCUUUUACAAUCUGGAGCUCAGCUGCUCUAAGAAGCUACGUACUCUCGGGUAGAUGUGGUGGGGCACGUCUGAGGCGGCGGUAGCUGAGACAGGGCAGCAGUGAUAGAGGCGGUCACCAUGAACCCAAAUAGCUGGCAUCAUUCCCUACCUCCCUGCACUCUCAGUCACGGUGCACGGGAGGACCAGCCUAGAGACUGUGCUCAAAGAUGCUGAGACUGCAAGGAGCAGGCUCUGCCAAAACGGGGAAAAGGGAGGGAACUGGGUUCCAGCCAGUACUCUAGCAGAUGCUCAGAGAGACUGACUUUGUUAGAGGAAUGAGCCUAUUUCCACAUCCUCUUGGUUGUCCUUUGUGAACUGAGGAAAAAACGAUGACAAAUAUUAUCAUAAAAUGUUUACUUCCUGGACCAAAUCUUUGUUAGCUAAAUUCCCCUCAAAACAAAUCGUUCAUUCAUUGGUGAUAGCACAAAUCUCAUAGCCGGUUUCUCUCUAAUCUUCUGCAGGACAACUUAAGUAAUAGUCUUUAAAAUAGUCAAGUGUUCCCCGAAUGGUUAGAGAAAAAAUUGGAAAUCCUCAGAAUCCUGUUUUUAAAUAAAAUAUCACCGAGAAGCCUGAUUUAAUAAAACAGAACACAAAGCUGUUCUUAUUAAAAAAGGUCAGUGACCUGGUGUCCUCUCUGUUUAGCACCACGGGGGGCAACACCACAAACCCAGGCGGCCACGGUGGUUUGAAAUCCAUUGGCCUGCGAUGGCAGUAAAUGCGCUUCAUGACCCAAGUAUUACAUCUGCUGCCACCAUCUCCCCUUCCUAGUCUCGUUUCCUGCUUCUAUGUACCCCUGUGCCUCAACUACUUGGAACGAUUAGUUCCCAAAUAGUUUUUCACAAUUUUUUAAAACUUUUCAUGUAUACCUCUAUCCACCCUUGCUCCACACUACUCAGAAGCAAACUUCCUCUUAACAGUUCAUCAAUUAGAAUUACAUCACACCGAGUUCCCAUUGUGGUGAAGCAGAAACAAAUCUGACUAGUAUCAAUGAGAAUGCAGGUUCAAUUCCUGGCCUUGCUUAGUGGGUUAUGGAUCCAGGGUUGCCGUGAGCUGUGGUGUAGGUUGCAGAUGGGGCUCAGAUCUGGCGUUGCUGUGACUGCAGCGUAGGCCGGAAGCUAUAGCUCCAUUCAGCCCCUAACCUGGAAACUUCCAUAUGCCAAGGGUAUGGCCCUAAAAAGGAAAAAAAAAAAAGGAAUUUCAUCUCACUGUUCAAAUCGACAAGGAAUUAAUUAUAACCCAACACCAGCAUCACAUCUAAAAAAUAACAAUUACUUAGUAAAAUCAAGUAUCCAGGAUUCAAAUUUCCAAUUUUCUCAUAAAAUGUUAUUUUUAUAUCAGAAUCCAAAGAAGACCCAUAAUUUAUCUAUAAGUAUCCAUCUUUUUUCCUUUUUUUUUUUUUUUGUUUUUGUUUCCAUUUUUGGCCACCUUGUGGCACAUGGAGUUCCCAGGCAAGGGACGCCAGAUGCUUUAACCCACUGUGCCCACCGGGAAUAGAACCUGAAAAACGUCGCUGAUCCUGCUGUACCACAACAGGAACUCCCAUCUUUUUUCUCCUUACAAUUAAUUUAUUUUUUGUCAUUUGUUUUGUAACCCUUCCAUUUUGCUAAUUUCAUCCCCAUGGUGUCAUUUAACGUUUCCCACUUUCUCUGUAUUUCCUAUAAAAUAGAAAUUGGACUUACAGUUUGAUCAGACUCAGGCUUGAUU
RNAcentral lists this long non-coding RNA (4086 nucleotides) under Sus scrofa (pig). RNAcentral describes it as "lncRNA (ENSSSCG00000059500.1)". Lineage: Eukaryota; Metazoa; Chordata; Mammalia; Artiodactyla; Suidae. The record is from RNAcentral.